GAAUUGACGGUGAAGACCCUCUUGAACAAAGGGCUGAAGAAAAGCUACGAGCUAGGGCCUGGGAAGGUUAUAUCAGGAAUUGUGAAGAGGAUGGAUAGGGGUGCUAGCAUUGAGAACAUCGGUGCAUGAGAGCCACCUAAUAAUGCAACUGCAGUAGGUUCCCUUGUGGGAUUUCGUUUUUAGAUGGAGUUUAAACCUUCGUUGUUCGCUUUGACGAUGGAUUCAAAGUUCAAAAUUGAUGGUUCAAUCUAGGAGACUCAAUUCUCAUGCCAACCUCGGAGAGGGAUUGAGUUAUGGUAGUACAGUUAUUGUGGAGACACCU
RNAcentral lists this unclassified non-coding RNA (322 nucleotides) under Hevea brasiliensis (rubber tree). Lineage: Eukaryota; Viridiplantae; Streptophyta; Magnoliopsida; Malpighiales; Euphorbiaceae. The record is from RNAcentral.